RNAcentral lists this ribosomal RNA (396 nucleotides) under Clostridioides difficile. Its description in RNAcentral is "bacterial SSU rRNA". It matches the Rfam family "Bacterial small subunit ribosomal RNA", at positions 1136 to 1531 of the family's 1533-position model. The record is from RNAcentral. Lineage: Bacteria; Bacillati; Bacillota; Clostridia; Peptostreptococcales; Peptostreptococcaceae.
CACUCUAGAGAGACUGCCAGGGAUAACCUGGAGGAAGGUGGGGCUGACGUCAAAUCAUCAUGCCCCUUAUGCUUAGGGCUACACACGUGCUACAAUGGGUAGUACAGAGGGUUGCCAAGCCGUAAGGUGGAGCUAAUCCCUUAAAGCUACUCUUAGUUCGGAUUGUAGGCUGAAACUCGCCUACAUGAAGCUGGAGUUACUAGUACUCGCAGCUCAGAAUGCUGCGGUGAAUGCGUUCCCGGGUCUUGUACACACCGCCCGUCACACCCCGGGAGUUGGAGCCGCCCGAAGCCGACUAUCGAACCUGUUGGAAGAAGUCGUCGAAGGUGGAAUCAAUAACUGGGGUGAAGUCGUAACAAGGUAGCCGGAUCGGAAGGUGCGGCUGGAUCACCUCCU